AGUCGAGCGCGCCCUUCGGGGUGAGCGGCGGACGGGUUAGUAACGCGUGGGAACGUGCCCUUCUCUAAGGAAUAGCCACUGGAAACGGUGAGUAAUACCUUAUACGCCCUUCGGGGGAAAGAUUUAUCGGAGAAGGAUCGGCCCGCGUUAGAUUAGAUAGUUGGUGGGGUAACGGCCUACCAAGUCUACGAUCUAUAGCUGGUUUUAGAGGAUGAUCAGCAACACUGGGACUGAGACACGGCCCAGACUCCUACGGGAGGCAGCAGUGGGGAAUCUUGGACAAUGGGCGCAAGCCUGAUCCAGCCAUGCCGCGUGAGUGAUGAAGGCCUUAGGGUCGUAAAGCUCUUUCGCCAGAGAUGAUAAUGACAGUAUCUGGUAAAGAAACCCCGGCUAACUCCGUGCCAGCAGCCGCGGUAAUACGGAGGGGGUUAGCGUUGUUCGGAAUUACUGGGCGUAAAGCGCACGUAGGCGGAUCAGAAAGUUGGGGGUGAAAUCCCAGGGCUCAACCCUGGAACUGCCUCCAAAACUCCUGGUCUUGAGUUCGAGAGAGGUGAGUGGAAUUCCGAGUGUAGAGGUGAAAUUCGUAGAUAUUCGGAGGAACACCAGUGGCGAAGGCGGCUCACUGGCUCGAUACUGACGCUGAGGUGCGAAAGUGUGGGGAGCAAACAGGAUUAGAUACCCUGGUAGUCCACACCGUAAACGAUGAAUGCCAGUCGUCAGCAAGCAUGCUUGUUGGUGACACACCUAACGGAUUAAGCAUUCCGCCUGGGGAGUACGGUCGCAAGAUUAAAACUCAAAGGAAUUGACGGGGGCCCGCACAAGCGGUGGAGCAUGUGGUUUAAUUCGAAGCAACGCGCAGAACCUUACCAACCCUUGACAUCCUCGGACCGCCAGAGAGAUCUGGUUUCCACUUCGGUGGCCGAGUGACAGGGUGCUGCAUGGCUUGUCGUCAGCUCGUGUCGUGAGAUGUUCGGUUAAGUCCGGCAACGAGCGCAACCCACAUCCUUAGUUGCCAGCAGUUCGGCUGGGCACUCUAGGGAAACUGCCCGUGAUAAGCGGGAGGAAGGUGUGGAUGACGUCAAGUCCUCAUGGCCCUUACGGGUUGGGCUACACACGUGCUACAAUGGCAGUGACAAUGGGUUAAUCCCAAAAAACUGUCUCAGUUCGGAUUGGGGUCUGCAACUCGACCCCAUGAAGUCGGAAUCGCUAGUAAUCGCGUAACAGCAUGACGCGGUGAAUACGUUCCCGGGCCUUGUACACACCGCCCGUCACACCAUGGGAGUUGGGUUUACCCGAAGGCCGUGCGCCAACCAGCAAUGGGGGCAG
This 1326-nucleotide ribosomal RNA is filed under the name Phaeobacter gallaeciensis. RNAcentral's name for it is "16S ribosomal RNA". It matches the Rfam family "Bacterial small subunit ribosomal RNA". The record is from RNAcentral. Lineage: Bacteria; Pseudomonadati; Pseudomonadota; Alphaproteobacteria; Rhodobacterales; Roseobacteraceae.